This is a long non-coding RNA of Bradysia coprophila, 1569 nucleotides long. Lineage: Eukaryota; Metazoa; Arthropoda; Insecta; Diptera; Sciaridae. The record is from RefSeq and is a predicted model, not a curated record.
GAUGAUAGAUAACACAUUUAACUGUUUUGAGAUAAAAUUAUUGUUCCAUUUGUUGUGAAAAGUUGAAAGUUAGAAUGGUUAACGAAUAGUUUAAUGCGGGGCGUUUUUUCGUCCUUUUUUUCCUAACAAUAUUAUUGUGUGUUGUGCGGAUGGCUUAUUGAUCGUUAUUUUUUUUUAACAACCUGAAGUCAGCCAAUCGAGCCGCUUGCAACACAAAAGAGACCAUGGGCAAUAUAAUUCCAACAAAUGAAGAUCGUAGAAAAAAAUACGAAUGUGAAAUUACUGUUGACAACCAUCCUCCAUUUGUUUUAAUGGCUGCAAAUUUACAACAGCUAAGGAGGUUGUUGACUAAAUACAGUAGUUUCAAAGACGAUGAAAACCCGCCAUGGAUUUUCGACUCGCAAAGAAGACUAGUCUACGACAAUGCAACAUUCAUAAGUUUAGAGAACAGGAAAUUUUUUGCGAUGUCUUCUAAGUCACCUGCUGACUGGAUAUUACUCGAUCACGAAAUUAUUGAACUCAACUAUCAACAACUCGAAACACCGACAACUGAGAAUUCCGAUGAGACUUCUUUGAUAAAGCUUGCAUCGAAAACACUCCGCAUGCAACGCGACAGUAAAUUUAAACAACACAAUGAAUAACGAUUAAAUCAACAAUUAGACGACGCCGAUAAAGUCGAAAUAAAAAUGAGUCACUUGCAUCAACUUAGUAUUUUGACUCGAAACGUUCAAUGAACCUAACCAAUAAUAAUAUCAAUGGCCAGCGGCCACAGUCAAACAAUUCACUGAAAAUAGUGAGAAAAAUUUAGCGAAGAAGGAAAAACAAAUGUGUGAUAACUUGGGUUAUAUGCGACUGAAACGGAUAAAAAAGGUGAAAAUGUAAGAGGAACUUUACGAUGGUCCGCCUGCCAAUCGUUGUCUGUCCUUUUCGUUUGGACAAAACCAUCAUAAAUUCACUCCUUCACACCGUCAAACAGAGGCAAUCAUUCAAACGGCAACGCUACUCCUCCGCUUGACAGUGGAAAAAUGAAUUGGACCGCUGAACGAUUGUUCACUAUCUACAUCUCCACAUCGAUUCUACUACAAGCAUUGACCGAUCAGGAAGACAGUAACAUGAUGCGCACGGAAAAAGAUGAGGAUCGUUGGAUUUAAAAUUUUCACAAGCGUCAAAAACGAACUCGAUUAUUGAAACGAACGUGGAAGUCACAGAGCAGUUGCAUGGCUUGUGGCCGGCUUAUAGUCAUAGAAAUUGUAAAUCGAUCAUUAAAUCGCCAGCAUCGGCUAGAGUAACUGGCAUCAAGGUGGUGAAUCAAUGGUCAUAGAUUCCGAAACUGAAACCGUUGAUUGUUCAAAGAUACACUGAUCGGCCGCUGCUAAUCGCUGAACGUAAAUUCGACCUGAAGCUUUAUGUAUUAGUAACACCUAUCAAACCGCUACGAGUCCUCGUACGAGUCUACAUGCACACCGACGGACUAGCUAGAUUCAUAUUGGGACUCCGAGAGUAAUGUGUCCGAUUUGAAAGUUCAAAUAUCCGACGAUGAAAUCGAUCAGCAAAAAUUGAAUGGCAUCA